Molecule: ribosomal RNA, 253 nt
Filed under: uncultured bacterium
Lineage: Bacteria
Description: partial 16S ribosomal RNA
Rfam family: Bacterial small subunit ribosomal RNA
Source: RNAcentral
UACGUAGGGGGCAAGCGUUAUCCGGAUUUACUGGGUGUAAAGGGAGCGUAGACGGCAGUGCAAGUCUGAAGUGAAAGGCAAGGGCUCAACCCUUGGACUGCUUUGGAAACUGUGCUGCUGGAGUGUCGGAGAGGCAAGUGGAAUUCCUAGUGUAGCGGUGAAAUGCGUAGAUAUUAGGAGGAACACCAGUGGCGAAGGCGGCUUGCUGGACGAUGACUGACGUUGAGGCUCGAAAGCGUGGGGAGCAAACAGG